UAAAUGUAAGGAAAUUAUAGAGAAGCAUAACGAGAAUUUAUAUGUUGAUUAACAAAGGAUUAUGGAUCCUGAAACUUAAAGAAGGGGAAUGCUUAUAUUUUCCAUAAACGAAAGUGGUGGUUCUAUGAUAACAGGAAUCAUUUGAAGAUGUGUUGUUUAGAAGGCGAUAAAAAAGUUCUGAUGAGAGAAAACAUGGAAGAAGGGAAAGGCAUAAAAGAGUGCAUUUUGGUAUUUGAAUGAAGAGUGUGGUGGAAAGCGGUUGCUGAACUCAAGCUGUGUCAAACUGCCUGACUACCCUGCUUUAUUGUUUGUGACGAGGGGUAAGGCUGGGUGAUAGCAAAAUAAAAUAUUGCUGGAAAUGCA
RNAcentral lists this long non-coding RNA (363 nucleotides) under Aotus nancymaae (Ma's night monkey). RNAcentral's name for it is "lncRNA (ENSANAG00000038798.1)". The record is from RNAcentral. Lineage: Eukaryota; Metazoa; Chordata; Mammalia; Primates; Aotidae.